Molecule: ribosomal RNA, 505 nt
Filed under: uncultured bacterium
Lineage: Bacteria
Description: partial 16S ribosomal RNA
Rfam family: Bacterial small subunit ribosomal RNA
Source: RNAcentral
GACGAACGCUGGCGGCGUGCCUAAUACAUGCAAGUAGAACGCACAGUUUAUACCGUAGCUUGCUACACCAUAGACUGUGAGUUGCGAACGGGUGAGUAACGCGUAGGUAACCUGCCUGGUAGCGGGGGAUAACUAUUGGAAACGAUAGCUAAUACCGCAUAAUAUUAAUUAUUGCAUGAUAAUUAAUUGAAAGGUGCAAUUGCACCACUACCAGAUGGACCUGCGUUGUAUUAGCUAGUAGGUGAGGUAACGGCUCACCUAGGCGACGAUACAUAGCCGACCUGAGAGGGUGAUCGGCCACACUGGGACUGAGACACGGCCCAGACUCCUACGGGAGGCAGCAGUAGGGAAUCUUCGGCAAUGGACGAAAGUCUGACCGAGCAACGCCGCGUGAGUGAAGAAGGUCGUCGGAUCGUAAAGCUCUGUUGUAAGAGAAGAACGGGUGUGAGAGUGGAAAGUUCACACUGUGACGGUAUCUUACCAGAAAGGGACGGCUAACUACGUG